This 76-nucleotide transfer RNA is filed under the name Vulcanimicrobiaceae bacterium. RNAcentral describes it as "tRNA-Thr". It matches the Rfam family "tRNA". From Rfam's summary of the family: Transfer RNA (tRNA) molecules are approximately 80 nucleotides in length. RNAcentral also lists the same sequence under 1 other name. The record is from RNAcentral. Lineage: Bacteria; Bacillati; Vulcanimicrobiota; Vulcanimicrobiia; Vulcanimicrobiales; Vulcanimicrobiaceae.
GCCGACGUGGCUCAGCGGCUACAGCAGCAGUUUUGUAAACUGCCAAUCGUGGGUUCGAGUCCCACCGUCGGCUCCA